RNAcentral lists this transfer RNA (67 nucleotides) under Diaphorina citri (Asian citrus psyllid). Its description in RNAcentral is "tRNA-Pro". Lineage: Eukaryota; Metazoa; Arthropoda; Insecta; Hemiptera; Psyllidae. The record is from RNAcentral.
CAGUAAGUAGUUUAAACAACAAAAUAUUAGUUUUGGAGACUAAAAAUACAAAAUGAGUUUUACUGAU